RNAcentral lists this ribosomal RNA (459 nucleotides) under uncultured bacterium. RNAcentral describes it as "partial 16S ribosomal RNA". It matches the Rfam family "Bacterial small subunit ribosomal RNA", at positions 338 to 795 of the family's 1533-position model. The record is from RNAcentral.
CCUACGGGAGGUAGCAGUGAGGAAUAUUGGUCAAUGGUCGGGAGACUGAACCAGCCAAGCCGCGUGAGGGAUGAAGGUACAGAGUAUCGUAAACCUCUUUUGUCAGGGAACAAAGGCGGGGACGCGUCCCCGGAGGAGUGUACCUGAAGAAAAAGCAUCGGCUAACUCCGUGCCAGCAGCCGCGGUAAUACGGAGGAUGCGAGCGUUAUCCGGAUUUAUUGGGUUUAAGGGGUGCGCAGGCGGUCUGUUAAGUCAGCGGUCAAAGCCCGGGGCUCAACCCCGGCCCGCCGUUGAAACUGGCAGUCUCGAGUUGGAGAGAAGUAUGCGGAAUGCGCGGUGUAGCGGUGAAAUGCAUAGAUAUCGCGCAGAACUCCGAUUGCGAAGGCAGCAUGCCGGCUCCACACUGACGCUGAGGCACGAAAGCGUGGGUAUCGAACAGGAUUAGAUACCCUAGUAGUC